ACUUAAAGCCACGCCAACAUGAACAUGCCUGAGCUCAUCAUGUAAGCAGGGUCAGGCGUGGUUAGUACUUGAAUGGGAGACUGUCUGGGAAUUACAGGUGCUGCAAGCC
Ribosomal RNA from Amphilophus citrinellus (Midas cichlid), 109 nucleotides. Lineage: Eukaryota; Metazoa; Chordata; Actinopteri; Cichliformes; Cichlidae. The record is from Ensembl.